GAUGAACGCUGGCGGCGUGCCUAAUACAUGCAAGUCGAGCGAACAGAUGAGAAGCUUGCUUCUCUGAUGUUAGCGGCGGACGGGUGAGUAACACGUGGGUAACCUACCUAUAAGACUGGGACGACUCCGGGAAACCGGGGCUAAUACCGGAUAAUAUUUUGAACCGCAUGGUUCAAUAGCGAAAGACGGUUUCGGCUGUCACUUAUAGAUGGACCCGCGCCGUAUUAGCUAGUUGGUAAGGUAACGGCUUACCAAGGCGACGAUACGUAGCCGACCUGAGAGGGUGAUCGGCCACACUGGAACUGAGACACGGUCCAGACUCCUACGGGAGGCAGCAGUAGGGAAUCUUCCGCAAUGGGCGAAAGCCUGACGGAGCAACGCCGCGUGAGUGAUGAAGGUCUUCGGAUCGUAAAACUCUGUUGUUAGGGAAGAACAAAUUUGUUAGUAACUGAACAAGUCUUGACGGUACCUAACCAGAAAGCCACGGCUAACUACGUGCCAGCCGCCGCAGUAA
RNAcentral lists this ribosomal RNA (514 nucleotides) under uncultured bacterium. RNAcentral describes it as "partial 16S ribosomal RNA". It matches the Rfam family "Bacterial small subunit ribosomal RNA", at positions 28 to 523 of the family's 1533-position model. The record is from RNAcentral.